Bos taurus (domestic cattle) is the source of this 72-nucleotide non-coding RNA. NCBI's taxonomy places the organism in Eukaryota, Metazoa, Chordata, Mammalia, Artiodactyla, Bovidae. The record is from Rfam.
UCCCUGGUGGCUCAGAGGAUAAAGCGUCUGCUUACAAUGCAGGAGACCUGGGUUCGAUCCUUGGAUCGGGAA